RNAcentral lists this ribosomal RNA (491 nucleotides) under uncultured bacterium. RNAcentral describes it as "partial 16S ribosomal RNA". It matches the Rfam family "Bacterial small subunit ribosomal RNA", at positions 28 to 507 of the family's 1533-position model. The record is from RNAcentral.
GAUGAACGCUGGCUACAGGCUUAACACAUGCAAGUCGAGGGGAAACGACGGGGAAGCUUGCUUCCCCGGGCGUCGACCGGCGCACGGGUGAGUAACGCGUAUCCAACCUGCCUCUGACUGGGGGAUAACCCGUCGAAAGUCGGCCUAAUACCUCAUGGCAUCGUCUGCGGGCAUCCAACGACGAUUAAAGAUUUCAUCGGUCAGAGAUGGGGAUGCGUCUGAUUAGCUUGUUGGCGGGGUAACGGCCCACCAAGGCGACGAUCAGUAGGGGUUCUGAGAGGAAGGUCCCCCACAUUGGAACUGAGACACGGUCCAAACUCCUACGGGAGGCAGCAGUGAGGAAUAUUGGUCAAUGGGCGAGAGCCUGAACCAGCCAAGUAGCGUGCAGGAUGACGGCCCUAUGGGUUGUAAACUGCUUUUAUGCGGGGAUAAAGUGAGGGACGUGUCCUUCAUUGCAGGUACCGCAUGAAUAAGGACCGGCUAAUUCCGUG